GACGAACGCUGGCGGCGUGCCUAAUACAUGCAAGUUGAGCGCUGAAGGUUGGUACUUGUACCAACUGGAUGAGCAGCGAACGGGUGAGUAACGCGUGGGGAAUCUGCCUUUGAGCGGGGGACAACAUUUGGAAACGAAUGCUAAUACCGCAUAAAAACUUUAAACACAAGUUUUAAGUUUGAAAGAUGCAAUUGCAUCACUCAAAGAUGAUCCCGCGUUGUAUUAGCUAGUUGGUGAGGUAAAGGCUCACCAAGGCGAUGAUACAUAGCCGACCUGAGAGGGUGAUCGGCCACAUUGGGACUGAGACACGGCCCAAACUCCUACGGGAGGCAGCAGUAGGGAAUCUUCGGCAAUGGACGAAAGUCUGACCGAGCAACGCCGCGUGAGUGAAGAAGGUUUUCGGAUCGUAAAACUCUGUUGGUAGAGAAGAACGUGGGUGAGAGUGGAAAGCUCAUCAAGUGACGGUAACUACCCAGAAAGGGACGGCUAACUACGUG
Molecule: ribosomal RNA, 497 nt
Filed under: uncultured bacterium
Lineage: Bacteria
Description: partial 16S ribosomal RNA
Rfam family: Bacterial small subunit ribosomal RNA
Source: RNAcentral